Rhopalosiphum padi (bird cherry-oat aphid) is the source of this 481-nucleotide long non-coding RNA. RefSeq lists it as uncharacterized. Lineage: Eukaryota; Metazoa; Arthropoda; Insecta; Hemiptera; Aphididae. The record is from RefSeq and is a predicted model, not a curated record. The transcript is spliced from 2 exons.
UAUUCCAUGUAUGUAGUAAUAAAAUAUUAUAGCAAAGCAACACGUUCAUUCUAUCUAGAGUGCAAAACAAAAACGAUAACCAUUACCAACGUUAUGCCCUUGUGGGUCAACAGCAAAACAUCAAUGUAGUGUCACUAACACUGAACUAUAGCAACCAUUACAGCAACUGUUCAUAUAACGGUGUCUAAGAAGACCCACAAUGCACCGAGGGUUGCCUCAAAUAUAUUGACCAAACGAGCGCAAACUACCAAUUCAAACCUUAUGCUAAUUGUCUAGUGUGUGUUUGUAUUAUAUAUAAAGCACUAACUACACGCUUAAACAAAAGAAACAGAUUAAACAAAACUCACCUAUGUGCAGCGAAAAAUGUCACGAAUUCAAUACAAUCGAUUCAAUCGAAUUUAUUCAAAGGUAAAAAAAAACAAUUACUUAACAAAAACUAUUUAUUCAAAAAACAAUUUUGUAAUUAAUGUUAGAUUGAAAA